Molecule: ribosomal RNA, 460 nt
Filed under: uncultured bacterium
Lineage: Bacteria
Description: partial 16S ribosomal RNA
Rfam family: Bacterial small subunit ribosomal RNA
Source: RNAcentral
CCUACGGGAGACUGCAGUGAGGAAUAUUGGUCAAUGGCCGGAAGGCUGAACCAGCCAUGCCGCGUGAAGGUCAGUGCCCUAUGGGCGUUAAACUUCUUUUGUGCGGGAGCAAUAAUGGUCACGUGUGGCCAGACGAGAGUACCGUACGAAUAAGCAUCGGCUAACUCCGUGCCAGCAGCCGCGGUAAUACGGGGGAUGCAAGCGUUAUCCGGAUUUAUUGGGUUUAAAGGGUGCGUAGGCUGUGAGGUAAGUCAGCGGUGAAAUGCCCCCGCUCAACGGGGUGAAGUGCCAUUGAUACUGCCUGGCUGGAAUGCGGAUGCCGUGGGAGGAAUGUGUGGUGUAGCGGUGAAAUGCAUAGAUAUCACACAGAACACCGAUUGCGAAGGCAUCUCACGAAUCCGCGAUUGACGCUGAUGCACGAAAGCGUGGGUAUCAAACAGGAUUAGAUACCCUAGUAGUC